UGCCAUAUCAUCACAUUCAAACAUCGGUUCUCGUACGAUCACCGAAGUUAAGGAACGUCGAGCCUGGUCCGUACCUAGAUGGGUGACCGUUUGAGAUUACCAGUUGCU
Molecule: non-coding RNA, 108 nt
Organism: Acanthosepion pharaonis
Lineage: Eukaryota; Metazoa; Mollusca; Cephalopoda; Sepiida; Sepiidae
Source: the annotation of a GenBank genome assembly